UACGGGGGGGGCAAGCGUUGUUCGGAAUUACUGGGCGUAAAGGGCUCGUAGGCGGCCAACUAAGUCAGACGUGAAAUCCCUCGGCUUAACCGGGGAAUGGCGUCUGAUACUGGAUGGCUUGAAUUCGGGAGAGGGAUGCAGAAUUCCAGGUGUAGCGGUGAAAUGCGUAGAUAUCUGGAGGAAUACCGGUGGCGAAGGCGGCAUCCUGGACCGACAUUGACGCUGAGGAGCGAAAGCUAGGGGAGCAAACGGG
RNAcentral lists this ribosomal RNA (253 nucleotides) under uncultured bacterium. Its description in RNAcentral is "partial 16S ribosomal RNA". It matches the Rfam family "Bacterial small subunit ribosomal RNA", at positions 524 to 776 of the family's 1533-position model. The record is from RNAcentral.